GCCACGGUAAGUGAAAACUGUAAUAAUGGGAAAAUUAUCAAAAUGCCCCUAAAGGCGAAGAUGACCAAAAUACCCCUAUGUGUUAAAUGUAGGUUUUAUGGAUAUGACAUGCAUAUCUGUUGCAUACAUAUGAUAUUCUGCUUAGGUUGCAUAUGGGUUGAGAAAUAUGGAAUGGAGAAAGUAUAUGAGGAUCGCAUGGUUGCUUGACAAUCAUG
RNAcentral lists this long non-coding RNA (215 nucleotides) under Gossypium barbadense (sea-island cotton). Its description in RNAcentral is "long non-coding RNA (GBAR_LNC003213)". The record is from RNAcentral. Lineage: Eukaryota; Viridiplantae; Streptophyta; Magnoliopsida; Malvales; Malvaceae.